Molecule: ribosomal RNA, 359 nt
Filed under: Aleiodes sp. HD-075
Lineage: Eukaryota; Metazoa; Arthropoda; Insecta; Hymenoptera; Braconidae
Also listed under: 1 other name
Description: eukaryotic LSU rRNA
Source: RNAcentral
CGAAUGGGGAGAUUCAUCGUCAGCUCAUUUUGUAUAUGUAUAAGUUAUGAUGCGGGUUACUACUUGUAGUAUUGCCUGCACAUUCUUGUAUAUUUAGUUGCAAGAUGUUGUCGGCGUGCACUUCUCCCCUAGUAGGACGUCGCGACCUGUUGGGUGUCGGUCUACGGCCCAAGUGAUAGCCUUUAAUGUAAUUUAAAAAACAUUGAAGAUCCUUGGUGUUUUCUGACCGGCUACUUGGCAGUAUUCGUACGGUAUUUAGCCGCUAAAUUUAUUAAGCGUCCAUAUCCAUCACAAGCGAGGCUAAUUUACUGAUAGUACGGACCUAGUGCCGUCGUUGGUAUUGGCCAGCUGUUGGUUGA